Octopus sinensis (East Asian common octopus) is the source of this 417-nucleotide long non-coding RNA. RefSeq lists it as uncharacterized. The transcript is spliced from 3 exons. NCBI's taxonomy places the organism in Eukaryota, Metazoa, Mollusca, Cephalopoda, Octopoda, Octopodidae. The record is from RefSeq and is a predicted model, not a curated record.
AUCUUUAUUAUAUAUUGGAAUCUUUAAAAGGGAGAUCUAUUGUAUUCACAAACUCAAAAGAUUGCACGCGCAGAAUUGCUGCAAUUCUUCGAAUUUUAUCUCCUCCUAAUACUGGAAGUUUUUCUGUUUGCAUUCUACAUGCCGACAUGCUUCAAAAACAUCGAUUCCGUAAUAUUGAAAGAUUCCGUGCUGCAAGGGGCCCUUCCGUUUUGGUCGCAACGGACGUAGCUUCGCGCGGACUGGAUAUUGAGGAUAUCGAAAAUGUCAUACACUAUCAAGUAUCGACUAUGACUGAAGUGUAUGUCCAUCGUAGUGGAAGAACGGCGAGGGCUGAUAAACCUGGGUGUACUAUUACUAUCGUUGGUUACGAUGAGCAUAAAAGAUUUCUGAAUAUUCAACAUCAGCUCAAUAGAGGUU